AUUUCUGCGGACAACACCAAUUUAUUGAUCGUAAAAAUCGAAUCAAUAGGUACUCUCACCUAAUUAUGAACUUCUCCUUCUAAGCUCACUAGUUUCGAUGCUCAAACUUGGAGUAAGAGGGAAAUUGUCUAUUUGAGAGAGAAAUAUUGGAAUUACAUGCUUUACUCUUCAAAAAUGGUGGUAUUUAUAGAUUUUCCUCUUCAAAGUUGUAUUGCCUAGACUUUGCUUGGGUCAGUAGGAACUACUUUCUGACGGAUUACAUGGUCUAAGUACUUAAUCUGUAGCUGUCCAAAAUUGCACUUGGACUAUUUAUCAUACAAUUGGUGCUUUUGUAAUAUCUUUACAGUGUAGAUGAUAAUAAUGGGCUGACAAGCCAGGGCUGUAUACUAGUAUGUCAUCAAAAAAUUAAAAAAUACAAGCACAUAGCUUCUUAGUUGAUCCUUUAACACUUAAUUCAUAAGGCUUUCAAAGUUAGUAGGUGCAUUGGUGAGACGAAAGGGCAUCAAUCUUGGAAUAGUACUUUAACCCAUUGCGUUCAUCUAGUAAUUCUUCAAUGAGUAGGUAUGGGAAAUUUAUCCUUGAUUUUUAUGUUAUUUAGUUGCAUAUAAUCUACGCAAAAUCUCCAUGACCCAUCCUUUCUCUUGACUAGGAAAAUGGAUUGUUGCUGGAUUGGAUGAUUCCACUAUCAAGCAUUUCUUUGACCAAUUCCCUGUUUUUGUCUUCUGGAUAAAUGGGCAUCUAUAUGGCCCGAUUAUGAACGGUUGAGCUCCU
This 771-nucleotide long non-coding RNA is filed under the name Olea europaea subsp. europaea. Lineage: Eukaryota; Viridiplantae; Streptophyta; Magnoliopsida; Lamiales; Oleaceae. The record is from RNAcentral.